Molecule: ribosomal RNA, 1484 nt
Filed under: uncultured bacterium
Lineage: Bacteria
Description: bacterial SSU rRNA
Rfam family: Bacterial small subunit ribosomal RNA
Source: RNAcentral
CUGGCUCAGGACGAACGCUGGCGGCAUGCUUAACACAUGCAAGUCGAACGAGAAAGCUUCUUCGGAAGUGAUUAAAGUGGCGCACGGGUGAGUAACGCGUAGACAAUCUGCCCUUCAGUCUGGGACAACUUUCCGAAAGGGGAGCUAAUACCGGAUAACAAUAUUUGACAUAAGUUAAAUAUUUGAAAGCUCCGGCGCUGAUGGAUGAGUCUGCGUCCCAUUAGCUUGUUGGUGCGGUAGUGGCGCACCAAGGCUACGAUGGGUAGCGGGUUUGAGAGGACGAUCCGCCACACUGGAACUGAGACACGGUCCAGACUCCUACGGGAGGCAGCAGUGGGGAAUAUUGCACAAUGGAGGAAACUCUGAUGCAGCAAUGUCGCGUGAGUGAAGAAGGCCCUUGGGUCGUAAAGCUCUUUUAUGGGGGAAGAUAAUGACGGUACCCCAGGAAUAAGCACCGGCUAACUACGUGCCAGCAGCCGCGGUAAUACGUAGGGUGCGAGCGUUGUUCGGAAUUACUGGGCGUAAAGGGCGCGCAGGCGGAGAUGCAAGUCGGAGGUGAAAGCCCGGGGCUCAACCCCGGAGGGUCUUUCGAAACUGCAUUUCUAGAGAGGGUCAGGGGCCGGCAGAAUUCCUGGUGUAGAGGUGAAAUUCGUAGAUAUCAGGAGGAAUACCGGUGGCGAAAGCGGCCGGCUGGGGCCACUCUGACGCUGAGGCGCGAAAGCGUGGGGAGCAAACAGGAUUAGAUACCCUGGUAGUCCACGCCGUAAACGAUGAGCACUGGACGUUCGGAGGGUUCGACCCUUCUGGGUGUUUCAGCUAACGCAUUAAGUGUUCCGCCUGGGGAGUACGCACGCAAGUGUGAAACUCAAAGGAAUUGACGGGGGCCCGCACAAGCGGUGGAGUAUGUGGUUUAAUUCGAUGCAACGCGAAGAACCUUACCAGGGUUUGACAUCCUGCGAACCUCUUAGAAAUUUGAGGGUGCCUUCGGGAAUGCAGUGACAGGUGGUGCAUGGCUGUCGUCAGCUCGUGUCGUGAGAUGUUGGGUUAAGUCCCGCAACGAGCGCAACCCACGUUUUUAGUUGCCAGCAUUUAGUUGGGCACUCUAGAAAGACCGCCGGUGAUAAACCGGAGGAAGGUGUGGAUGACGUCAAGUCAUCAUGCCCCUUACACCCUGGGCUACACACGUACUACAAUGCUACGGACAAAGGGCAGCAAACUCGCGAGAGCUAGCAAAUCCCAUAAACCGUGGCUCAGUUCAGAUCGUAGGCUGCAACUCGCCUACGUGAAGUAGGAAUCGCUAGUAAUCGCAGGUCAGCAUACUGCGGUGAAUACGUUCCCGGGCCUUGUACACACCGCCCGUCACACCAUGGAAGUUGGCCACGCCCGAAGUCGUUACUUUAACCCUUGUGGAGAAGGACGCCGAAGGUGGGGCUGAUGACUGGGGUGAAGUCGUAACAAGGUAGCCGUACCGGAAGGUGCGGCUG